AUCUGUGGAUGAAAGCAGGGGACUUGGUAGCAAUACUGGGCCUUGUGCGAUUGGAGCGGCCGAUGUCAGAUUAGCUAGUUGGUAGGGUAAAAGCCUACCAAGGCGACGAUCUGUAGCUGGUCUGAGAGGACGACCAGCCACACUGGGACUGAGACACGGCCCAGACUCCUACGGGAGGCAGCAGUGGGGAAUUUUGGACAAUGGGCGCAAGCCUGAUCCAGCAAUGCCGCGUGCAGGACGAAGGCCUUCGGGUUGUAAACUGCUUUUGUACGGAGCGAAACGGUCUGGGUUAAUACCCUAGGCUAAUGACGGUACCGUAAGAAUAAGCACCGGCUAACUACGUGCCAGCAGCCGCGGUAAUACGUAGGGUGCGAGCGUUAAUCGGAAUUACUGGGCGUAAAGCGUGCGCAGGCGGUUUUGUAAGACAGGCGUGAAAUCCCCGGGCUCAACCUGGGAAUGGCGCUUGUGACUGCAAAGCUAGAGUGCGGCAGAGGGGGAUGGAAUUCCGCGUGUAGCAGUGAAAUGCGUAGAUAUGCGGAGGAACACCGAUGGCGAAGGCAAUCCCCUGGGCCUGCACUGACGCUCAUGCACGAAAGCGUGGGGAGCAAACAGGAUUAGAUACCCU
This 625-nucleotide ribosomal RNA is filed under the name uncultured bacterium. Its description in RNAcentral is "bacterial SSU rRNA". It matches the Rfam family "Bacterial small subunit ribosomal RNA", at positions 192 to 788 of the family's 1533-position model. The record is from RNAcentral.